Molecule: ribosomal RNA, 253 nt
Filed under: uncultured bacterium
Lineage: Bacteria
Description: partial 16S ribosomal RNA
Rfam family: Bacterial small subunit ribosomal RNA
Source: RNAcentral
UACGUAGGGUGCGAGCGUUAAUCGGAAUUACUGGGCGUAAAGCGUGCGCAGGCGGUUCGUUGUGUCCGAUGUGAAAGCCCCGAGCUCAACUUGGGAAUGGCAUUGGAAACUGGCGAGCUGGAGUGUGGCAGAGGGGGGUGGAAUUCCCAGUGUAGAGGUGAAAUUCGUAGAUAUUGGGAAGAACACCGGUGGCGAAGGCGGCUCACUGGCUCGUUUCUGACGCUGAGGCGCGAAAGCGUGGGGAGCAAACAGG